GCUGGGAGCAGAGGCGCACACCUGUAAUCCCAGCAACUCAGGAGGCUGAGGCAGGAGGAUCAAAAGUUCAAGGACAGUCUCAGCAACUCAGCAAGACCCUGUCUCAA
Molecule: small RNA, 107 nt
Filed under: Marmota monax (woodchuck)
Lineage: Eukaryota; Metazoa; Chordata; Mammalia; Rodentia; Sciuridae
Source: RNAcentral